Molecule: ribosomal RNA, 472 nt
Filed under: uncultured Sphingomonas sp.
Lineage: Bacteria; Pseudomonadati; Pseudomonadota; Alphaproteobacteria; Sphingomonadales; Sphingomonadaceae
Description: bacterial SSU rRNA
Rfam family: Bacterial small subunit ribosomal RNA
Source: RNAcentral
AGUUGUUUGAUCCUGGCUCAGAACGAACGCUGGCGGCAUGCCUAACACAUGCAAGUCGAACGAAGCCUUCGGGUUUAGUGGCGCACGGGUGCGUAACGCGUGGGAAUCUGCCCUUGGGUUCGGAAUAACAGAUGGAAACGACUGCUAAUACCGGAUGAUGACGAAAGACCAAAGAUUUAUCGCCGAGGGAUGAGCCCGCGUAGGAUUAGGUAGUUGGUGAGGUAAAGGCUCACCAAGCCGACGAUCCUUAGCUGGUCUGAGAGGAUGAUCAGCCACACUGGGACUGAGACACGGCCCAGACUCCUACGGGAGGCAGCAGUGGGGAAUAUUGGACAAUGGGCGAAAGCCUGAUCCAGCAAUGCCGCGUGAGUGAUGAAGGCCUUAGGGUUGUAAAGCUCUUUUACCCGGGAUGGAUAAUGACAGUACCGGGAGAAUAAGCCCCGGCUAACUCCGUGCCAGCAGCCGCGGUAAU